CGGCGGACGGGUGAGUAACACGUGGAUAACCUACCUAUAAGACUGGGAUAACUUCGGGAAACCGGAGCUAAUACCGGAUAAUAUAUUGAACCGCAUGGUUCAAUAGUGAAAGACGGUUUUGCUGUCACUUAUAGAUGGACCCGCGCUGCAUUAGCUAGUUGGUAAGGUAACGGCUUACCAAGGCAACGAUGCGUAGCCGACCUGAGAGGGUGAUCGGCCACACUGGAACUGAGACACGGUCCAGACUCCUACGGGAGGCAGCAGCC
This 266-nucleotide ribosomal RNA is filed under the name uncultured Staphylococcus sp. Its description in RNAcentral is "partial 16S ribosomal RNA". It matches the Rfam family "Bacterial small subunit ribosomal RNA", at positions 96 to 355 of the family's 1533-position model. The record is from RNAcentral. Lineage: Bacteria; Bacillati; Bacillota; Bacilli; Caryophanales; Staphylococcaceae.